CUAGCUGUAAACGAUGGAUACUAGGCGUUGAGAGUAUCGACCCUCUCAGUGUCGUAGCUAACGCGUUAAGUAUCCCGCCUGGGGAGUACGCGCGCAAGCGUGAAACUCAAAGGAAUUGACGGGGGCCCGCACAAGCGGUGGAGUAUGUGGUUUAAUUCGAUGCAACGCGAAGAACCUUACCAGGGCUUGACAUGUCCGGAACCCUGCCCAAAGGCGGGGGUGCCGUACGGGAACCGGAACACAGGUGGUGC
Molecule: ribosomal RNA, 251 nt
Filed under: uncultured Chroococcidiopsis sp.
Lineage: Bacteria; Bacillati; Cyanobacteriota; Cyanophyceae; Chroococcidiopsidales; Chroococcidiopsidaceae
Description: partial 16S ribosomal RNA
Rfam family: Bacterial small subunit ribosomal RNA
Source: RNAcentral